GUGCUUCCUUGGACAGCACAUAUACUAAAAUCAGAAUGACAGAGAAGACUAACAUGGCACUUGUGGAAGAAUUACAUAGAAAUACAUGAAGAUUACCAUAUUUUU
Monodelphis domestica (gray short-tailed opossum) is the source of this 105-nucleotide small nuclear RNA. Lineage: Eukaryota; Metazoa; Chordata; Mammalia; Didelphimorphia; Didelphidae. The record is from Ensembl.